AACGGCGGCCGUAACUAUAACGGUCCUAAGGUAGCGAAAUUCCUUGUCGGGUAAGUUCCGACCCGCACGAAAGGCGUAACGAUUUGGGCACUGUCUCAACGAGAGACUCGGUGAAAUCAUAGUACCUGUGAAGAUGCAGGUUACCCGCGACAGGACGGAAAGACCCCGUGGAGCUUUACUGUAGCCUGAUAUUGAAAUUCGGCACAGCUUGUACAGGAUAGGUAGGAGCCUUUGAAACGUGAGCGCUAGCUUACGUGGAGGCGUUGGUGGGAUACUACCCUAGCUGUGUUGGCUUUCUAACCCGCACCACUUAUCGUGGUGGGAGACAGUGUCAGGCGGGCAGUUUGACUGGGGCGGUCGCCUCCUAAAAGGUAACGGAGGCGCUCAAAGGUUCCCUCAGAAUGGUUGGAAAUCAUUCAUAGAGUGUAAAGGCAUAAGGGAGCUUGACUGCGAGACCUACAAGUCGAGCAGGGUCGAAAGACGGACUUAGUGAUCCGGUGGUUCCGCAUGGAAGGGCCAUCGCUCAACGGAUAAAAGCUACCCCGGGGAUAACAGGCUUAUCUCCCCCAAGAGUUCACAUCGACGGGGAGGUUUGGCACCUCGAUGUCGGCUCAUCGCAUCCUGGGGCUGUAGUCGGUCCCAAGGGUUGGGCUGUUCGCCCAUUAAAGCGGUACGCGAGCUGGGUUCAGAACGUCGUGAGACAGUUCGGUCCCUAUCCGUCGUGGGCGUAGGAAAUUUGAGAGGAGCUGUCCUUAGUACGAGAGGACCGGGAUGGACAUACCUCUGGUGUACCAGUUGUCGUGCCAACGGCAUAGCUGGGUAGCUAUGUAUGGACGGGAUAAGUGCUGAAAGCAUCUAAGCAUGAAGCCCCCCUCAAGAUGAGAUUUCCCAACUUCGGUUAUAAGAUCCCUCGAAGAUGACGAGGUUAAUAGGUUCGAGGUGGAAGCGUGGUGACACGUGGAGCUGACGAAUACUAAUCGAUCGAAGACUUAAUCAA
This 997-nucleotide ribosomal RNA is filed under the name Staphylococcus epidermidis. RNAcentral describes it as "bacterial LSU rRNA". It matches the Rfam family "Bacterial large subunit ribosomal RNA", at positions 1926 to 2925 of the family's 2925-position model. The record is from RNAcentral. Lineage: Bacteria; Bacillati; Bacillota; Bacilli; Caryophanales; Staphylococcaceae.